CAGUCGACGGCAGCACGGGUGCUUGCACCUGGUGGCGAGUGGCGAACGGGUGAGUAAUACAUCGGAACAUGUCCUGUAGUGGGGGAUAGCCCGGCGAAAGCCGGAUUAAUACCGCAUACGAUCUACGGAUGAAAGCGGGGGACCUUCGGGCCUCGCGCUAUAGGGUUGGCCGAUGGCUGAUUAGCUAGUUGGUGGGGUAAAGGCCUACCAAGGCGACGAUCAGUAGCUGGUCUGAGAGGACGACCAGCCACACUGGGACUGAGACACGGCCCAGACUCCUACGGGAGGCAGCAGUGGGGAAUUUUGGACAAUGGGCGAAAGCCUGAUCCAGCAAUGCCGCGUGUGUGAAGAAGGCCUUCGGGUUGUAAAGCACUUUUGUCCGGAAAGAAAUCCUUGGCYCUAAUACRGUCGGGGGAUGACGGUACCGGAAGAAUAAGCACCGGCUAACUACGUGCCAGCAGCCGCGGUAAUACGUAGGGUGCGAGCGUUAAUCGGAAUUACUGGGCGUAAAGCGUGCGCAGGCGGUUUGCUAAGACCGAUGUGAAAUCCCCGGGCUCAACCUGGGAACUGCAUUGGUGACUGGCAGGCUAGAGUAUGGCAGAGGGGGGUAGAAUUCCACGUGUAGCAGUGAAAUGCGUAGAGAUGUGGAGGAAUACCGAUGGCGAAAGCAGCCCCCUGGGCCAAUACUGACGCUCAUGCA
Molecule: ribosomal RNA, 700 nt
Filed under: Burkholderia sp. RZ3MS19
Lineage: Bacteria; Pseudomonadati; Pseudomonadota; Betaproteobacteria; Burkholderiales; Burkholderiaceae
Description: bacterial SSU rRNA
Rfam family: Bacterial small subunit ribosomal RNA
Source: RNAcentral